Molecule: ribosomal RNA, 253 nt
Filed under: uncultured bacterium
Lineage: Bacteria
Description: partial 16S ribosomal RNA
Rfam family: Bacterial small subunit ribosomal RNA
Source: RNAcentral
UACGUAGGGUGCAAGCGUUGUCCGGAAUUAUUGGGCGUAAAGAGCGUGUAGGCGGCCCGAUUAGUCCGCUGUGAAAGUCCAGGGCUCAACCCUGGAAUGCCGGUGGAUACUGUCGGGCUUGAGUACGGAAGAGGCGAGUGGAAUUCCUGGUGUAGCGGUGAAAUGCGCAGAUAUCAGGAGGAACACCAAUUGCGAAGGCAGCUCGCUGGGACGUUACUGACGCUGAGACGCGAAAGCGUGGGGAGCAAACAGG